UACGAAGGGGGCUAGCGUUGCUCGGAAUUACUGGGCGUAAAGGGCGCGUAGGCGGGUUGCUAAGUUAGAGGUGAAAGCCCGGGGCUCAACCCCGGAAUUGCCUUUGAGACUGCAUCGCUAGAAUUGUGGAGAGGUAAGUGGAAUUCCGAGUGUAGAGGUGAAAUUCGUAGAUAUUCGGAAGAACACCAGUGGCGAAGGCGACUUACUGGACACAUAUUGACGCUGAGGUGCGAAAGCGUGGGGAGCAAACAGG
RNAcentral lists this ribosomal RNA (253 nucleotides) under uncultured bacterium. RNAcentral's name for it is "partial 16S ribosomal RNA". It matches the Rfam family "Bacterial small subunit ribosomal RNA", at positions 524 to 776 of the family's 1533-position model. The record is from RNAcentral.